CCUACGGGGGGCUGCAGUAGGGAAUCUUCGGCAAUGGACGGAAGUCUGACCGAGCAACGCCGCGUGAGUGAAGAAGGUUUUCGGAUCGUAAAGCUCUGUUGUAAGAGAAGAACGAGUGUGAGAGUGGAAAGUUCACACUGUGACGGUAUCUUACCAGAAAGGGACGGCUAACUACGUGCCAGCAGCCGCGGUAAUACGUAGGUCCCGAGCGUUGUCCGGAUUUAUUGGGCGUAAAGCGAGCGCAGGCGGUUAGAUAAGUCUGAAGUUAAAGGCUGUGGCUUAACCAUAGUACGCUUUGGAAACUGUUUAACUUGAGUGCAAGAGGGGAGAGUGGAAUUCCAUGUGUAGCGGUGAAAUGCUUAGAUAUCAUGAAGAACUCCGAUUGCGAAGGCAGCAUACGGGAGUGUAACUGACGCUUAAGCUCGAAGGUGCGGGUAUCG
RNAcentral lists this ribosomal RNA (440 nucleotides) under uncultured bacterium. Its description in RNAcentral is "bacterial SSU rRNA". It matches the Rfam family "Bacterial small subunit ribosomal RNA", at positions 338 to 770 of the family's 1533-position model. The record is from RNAcentral.